This is a long non-coding RNA of Chelonus insularis, 841 nucleotides long. RefSeq lists it as uncharacterized. The record is from RefSeq and is a predicted model, not a curated record. Lineage: Eukaryota; Metazoa; Arthropoda; Insecta; Hymenoptera; Braconidae. The transcript has 3 exons.
AUUGUCGAAAAGGAAUGAACAAUUAUCUUAGUUGAUUCAUUGUAUACCUACAUUUAUUGUAUUAUAAUUAUUUCAAAAAUAAGUAAAAUAGAUUUAAAGGUUCCAUUGAAUGAGUCUCCGAGCUAAAUGACUUUGGUCAUGAUACUUUUACACCCCUCUAUAAACAUUAGAGGUAAUUUUAUAUGAGUAAUAAUUACAGUGAAAACUUUGUUGACAAAUAAUCAACCAUAGGGUAUUGACUUACUAAAUGAUGGUACUAUUGAACACCAGGACCAGAGCAAUAACCUCAUAAUAGCUGCAAUUGAAGCUAGGCUAAUCCGUGACCCAGUCCCGGUAUCCAAGGACAUAUAGAUGGUUGAAGGAAUACAGGAGUGAAGAUGGUGGUUAAUGAUAAAAGGGAAUACCAAUGAAGAAGAACAGAAGACUGAGUGAGGGGUGAAAGCUUCGACUUUCCAAUUUAUUGUCACUGGUCGUAUUUCUUCUGGUGCUCCAUUGCUGCUCCUACAAGUCGUGACCAUUAGAGAUCCCUCACAAUGGUCAGUGGGUCAGAAAUACUUGGAGGCAGGAUUUGUGGUUUCGCGAAAGCUAUGGAGAGAAAAAAUUUAUACUUAGAUCUCCAAUGGUGAACGCAGUGCUCUAGAUGAAUGGGGAUUCUCAUCUGGAUUUAGAUUUUAAACAUCUUGGACUACUGAGAUAGUUUUAACUUGAACUACAAAUCCUUUUUCAUGGAAAACAUCAUCACCAGCAACACUUCUCGCUGCUCAAGUUGUCAACGAAACAUGAGAUAUUGAUUUAAAUAAAUUACGAAUAUUUUUCAAGUUAUUUUUAGAGUUGAUAUUAU